RNAcentral lists this ribosomal RNA (253 nucleotides) under uncultured bacterium. Its description in RNAcentral is "partial 16S ribosomal RNA". It matches the Rfam family "Bacterial small subunit ribosomal RNA", at positions 524 to 776 of the family's 1533-position model. The record is from RNAcentral.
UACGUAGGGUGCGAGCGUUGUCCGGAAUUAUUGGGCGUAAAGGGCUCGUAGGCGGUUUGUCGCGUCGGGAGUGAAAACAUCCAGCUUAACUGGGUGCUUGCUUUCGAUACGGGCAGACUUGAGGUAUGCAGGGGAGAAUGGAAUUCCUGGUGUAGCGGUGAAAUGCGCAGAUAUCAGGAGGAACACCGGUGGCGAAGGCGGUUCUCUGGGCAUUACCUGACGCUGAGGAGCGAAAGCCAGGGGAGCAAACGGG